AUGAACGACACUAGCAAACAAGGAUAAGUGAGUUUGUACCUCUUCCCCUUCAUCUGAAAGACCAUCACCAGAGACAAAAUCAUUCAAAUAUGCUGGUUCUCUUCUAACUCGGGGUGUCAUCGGAGGAGCCGCUUCAUCUUCUUCAUUGCCAUCACUGGAUUCGUCCCUCACUGGAGAAGCUAUGUUUUCUUCUUCACUACCAUCAUCGGAAUUCUCCACCUCUUCACCGUUU
RNAcentral lists this long non-coding RNA (232 nucleotides) under Lathyrus oleraceus (garden pea). Its description in RNAcentral is "Pisum sativum (pea) long non-coding RNA (PSAT_LNC018039)". The record is from RNAcentral. Lineage: Eukaryota; Viridiplantae; Streptophyta; Magnoliopsida; Fabales; Fabaceae.